This is a long non-coding RNA of Lethenteron reissneri (Far Eastern brook lamprey), 1626 nucleotides long. RefSeq lists it as uncharacterized. Lineage: Eukaryota; Metazoa; Chordata; Hyperoartia; Petromyzontiformes; Petromyzontidae. The record is from RefSeq and is a predicted model, not a curated record.
GUUCGCUUGCUUGCUUGCUUGCGUGCUUGCUUGCGACCGUGCAAAUCUUUCGGUCGUUUUUUAACCCACUUCCCGUGAUCCAAUCGAGCUGACAUUUUGCACACAGACUCGUUGUGCGUGACAAUUUAUUUUCGUGAAAAAAAAUUCCUAAAUUUUCCACUUUUUAGGAAAAAAAAUCAUUUUAUUUAAAAUACCAAUGUGAUAAAAAUGAAACUCUUACUCAAGAAAAACAGAAAUGAAUAAUAAAAUAAAACCGAUGCCACGCAUAUAAAGGAUUUAUAGUGAAAAACUUUGUUUUUACGGGUUAAUUUUUAUGCUAUCGGCAUACCCCAUUUUCAUUGAUUUUACCCGAAAUUAACUCCGUCACUUAUGAUUGCAAGUUGCGAGUCAGUGACUGCUUUAGUGUUAAAAUAUGGUGCUGUAUUUUUAGGAUAGUGUAUUUAUAAUAUCAUUUUAUGUAGAUAUCCACAUUUAUUUAAUAUUUUUCUUCCGCAGUUUUUAUUGCAAAUGCAAUAUUUGAUAUCUCAAAAACCUGAUGUGAUAGACAAAAACUGAUGCCAGAUUUGGAAUCAGCACCCCAAAAUUACCUUAACCGCUGGAAUACCUUAUGCCAGAAAAAGUGUGACCAGUGUCAUAAGACGCUUUGCUGUGCCUUGAGAGUGAACAUUCAGAGUUCAAAUCACAACGUGGCACUUGGUUACAUGGAGGGCAGCACAGCAAACCGCUCAAGAUGUUUUUUCCCCCCCCCCAAGGGUAGCCCCCACUGCGAUGUGGACGGGGUAGUGAAAGGAUGAUUCCGAAAAGCGAAACAUUAAAAGUCGAAAAUGGAAGAGCUCUCUGUCUUCACCAAAGCUGCGCUGACCAGCGUGGUGAAGUAUGGUCAAACCACCACCCCCACGGAGGCAUACGGUGCGGGAGAGACCCUCGACCAAGAAAUGGCCCGACAACAGGCCGAUACUUGCACACACACUGCGUUCUUAAAACGUCCAAACAUCGGUAAGAACGGCAUUCGAUGUGACAGCACACCCACGCGCGCCAGCCGUUUUAUUUGGUUUUAACGCUUGCGCCGUCAACCCUUCCAAACAGCAGCGACAUCCAAGGCAAACGAGCAAUCACCAUGAUUAAUCAACAAGUGCAAGAAAGAUGUGUAAAUGCAUUGUUCCAUCAGCUGCAUAGUCAAGUGUUCCCUCGCAACAACAAAAACAUACAUUUAUUUUUCACCCCAUAUCAUUGUGGGUUUUGCGGUGACCCCCCCCUGCCCCACUUGGAGUGAUCCACGCACAGAGCCUCCACUAAAAAAAAUCUGGGGUACAUUGAGAAAGUAACCCUUCAUUGACACCUCCCACCAAACUCAAUAAAACUCAUUCAACCUUUUAGCACGCUCAUUUCUCAAGAUAUGGAGGGGUGGAUUGAACAUUCGAUCGGGCGUUGAGGGGUGGGGUGUUCAAUUUCAAGUUGGGUAUACAAGGAUCACCAUUUUAACGCGUAGGCUUUCGCGACCAAUAUCCAUAACAGGUUUUUUUGGGGUUAGAUCAAAUCUGGCUGCCACCGAAUGAUGCCGGUUGUAAUUACUGGUGAAACGGCGUACUCUUGAUUGUAAAUGGUGUGGAUUUGCUUUCCAACACA